AGUAUUUGGAUUGCUGUACUGGAAAAUGGCAGCAUUGCGAAAGUUUAGUACAAUCAUCGCAGACUUGUGAUUAUCCUCCUGGGGAUUCAGAAGAAACACGACAGGU
Molecule: long non-coding RNA, 106 nt
Organism: Cydia pomonella (codling moth)
Lineage: Eukaryota; Metazoa; Arthropoda; Insecta; Lepidoptera; Tortricidae
Exons: 4
Source: RefSeq, a predicted model, not a curated record